Molecule: ribosomal RNA, 497 nt
Filed under: uncultured bacterium
Lineage: Bacteria
Description: partial 16S ribosomal RNA
Rfam family: Bacterial small subunit ribosomal RNA
Source: RNAcentral
GAUGAACGCUGGCGGCGUGCCUAAUACAUGCAAGUCGAGCGAACGGACGAUAAGCUUGCUUCUCUGAUGUUAGCGGCGGACGGGUGAGUAACACGUGGAUAACCUACCUAUAAGACUGGGAUAACUUCGGGAAACCGGAGCUAAUACCGGAUAAUAUUUUGAACCGCAUGGUUCAAAAGUGAAAGACGGUCUUGCUGUCACUUAUAGAUGGAUCCGCGCUGCAUUAGCUAGUUGGUAAGGUAACGGCUUACCAAGGCAACGAUGCAUAGCCGACCUGAGAGGGUGAUCGGCCACACUGGAACUGAGACACGGUCCAGACUCCUACGGGAGGCAGCAGUAGGGAAUCUUCCGCAAAGGGCGAAAGCCUGACGGAGCAACGCCGCGUGAGUGAUGAAGGUCUUCGGAUCGUAAAACUCUGUUAGUAGGGAAGAACAUAUGUGUAAGUAACUGUGCACAUCUUGACGGUACCUAAUCAGAAAGCCACGGCUAACUACGUG